Molecule: long non-coding RNA, 7532 nt
Organism: Solanum pennellii
Lineage: Eukaryota; Viridiplantae; Streptophyta; Magnoliopsida; Solanales; Solanaceae
Exons: 10
Source: RefSeq, a predicted model, not a curated record
AAAAUAAACAUUAAUUAAUAAUAAAACAAAAAUACUUUCUCUUUCCUUCUCCCUUUCCCUUUUCUUUUCUGAAGAACUCAUGCUUUCCCUUUCCUUUCUCUGAUAUUGUGCUGAAGAUCGAGCUAUUUCCUUCAAGUCACGCUUUCCCUUCCCUUUUCCGAGCUGAAGAACUCAAAUUUUCUCUUAUCUGAGCUGAAGAUCGAGCUGAAUAUCAAGCUGUAGAACUCACAGAGCUGACCAAGCUUUCUCUUCUCCAACCUGAAUAUUUCGUCAAGAUUCUCCUGACUAGCUAAGCUAAAAAAUGGAAGUGCUAAGUUGAAGGUUCUCCUCUCUAGAUUUUGAUUUUCUCGACGAAAUGAAGAGUUGAUGCUAAAGAACUGGGGAUCAAAGAAAUAAAAUUCAAAGAGAUGAAGGAAGGAAGCUGAAUAACCGAUUUCUUGAAGUAAAUACUAAUUUACACUUACUUUAGAAACUAAAAUAGAGGUGUCAGGUUGUAUUGUGAGAAUUGUGUUUUAAGGUGCCCUUGUUUCAUUGCCACUGUCUACCCUUGUUGUUGACCCUGCUGCUGUUUGGAUUGUUGUUGCUGAGUUUUAUUGUUAGCUGGGGCUCUAUGGUCUGGGUUAAGGUCGGAGUGUACCCCCCUCAUGUAAAACAUGAGGCAAAUUCCCUCCUCUUGUUGCCCCUUUCUGCGGAAGUGAGGCUGUAUUAACAAUCCCCAUCCAACCCUCCUUCAACUUCAACAAUCAUAGUAGCAGUUUUAGAAAAAUUAUUUGAGUAAGGUUUCAUAGCUAUUAUACCUGAUAUUUUGCUAUUGACAUCCCUUCCUUGUUGAAUUUUUUGUUUUCCUUUAUCAUUUUCGUGCUCAUACCUGUUAUGUGUUUCCUUUGUUGUUGGAUGCCCUAUGGUGGUAGGUUCCUCUUUUGUAAUAACUUGAAUUUCCUGCAUGUUCAAGUUGUGAAAGCAUUGUGAUGUAAUAUGGGAAGUUUAUAUGUUUCUUGUGCGGUGCUUUGGGGAGCUUCCUUGGCUGUCUGAUUUUGUGGUGAGGUAGGUUUCCAUGUUGUUUUAUGGGGUAUCACUUCUUGCUGCCUUUGGUUCUUUUUCUUUGUGUUUGCCAUUCUUCUUCCUUCUGUUUAUUUUGUUUGUUCAUCUCCCUACUAUUUUGUUGUUGUUUUUCUGUAGCAUUUUUUGCAUUGUCGUGGUUAUUUUAUUUCUCUUUCUUGUUUUGAUUAUCCUUGCUUUUAUCCUCCUUUUUAUUUUCUUUCUCUUUUCUAGUUCUGUAAUCCUCCUCCCUCAUUCGAACUUUCUAUUCCUCUAUGUAGUGUCCCUGGUGCCUGCAAUACUCACAGUAUGGGGGAUGUUUUUAUUUGGUCAUUCUUCCCAUUCAAGCUUGCCUUCAAUGGUCAUUCUUUGUGUUCAGACUGUGUUGUAAUCAAGUUCAUUUUGCAGGUCAAUAAACACAUGUUUAACAUUAUAGUGUGCAAUGUUGACCCCCCCACACUUAAUUAAGUAUUUGUUGCUGCUAUUUGUUAUGUUCUAACUUUCUAUAGAUUUAUGUCACCCAUGGCCAUGGACUAUGGGUAAAUGAGUAAGCAUCUAGUGCUGAUUUUUUUUUCUUCUUUAAACUACUGUUCUGUUGGGAACAUCAGAAACUGCAACAGCCAUUCACUGGCGAGCACAGAAGACCCUUAAGAAGAGUAUUUCCCUUCUACCCUCACUGGGUAUGUGAUCAAUCUCAUGUGUGAAUACUUUUUUGACUUGGGAAUGAAUACUUUGAGCUGGCUAAUGUGAUUUCUUAUGCGGUGCACAAUCUCAUUUUUCAUUAAGAUGCCAAUCUUGAUCUACAUCACACUUUGAGGUAUUGGUAUUCUUUCGAUGACAUGCUUAUGUGAUCUAAGUAACUGUUAAAAGAGAUUUUCCUUUAUUCUUAGGCAGGACCUUCGCAACAAGUGUGAUAUAAAGGUUUUAGAAGAGCCAACUAUUGUCAUAUGCAAUUCAAUUUUCUUGACCUCUCAAACUAGUUGGAACGAUAAAAUUUUGUAGAUGAGUACCUUUAGCUUUAUGUGUCAAAUAGAAAAUGUACCAUUUCUAUCAAGAAAUCCUUCAUAUGGUAUCUUCUAAUUUCAAAUUUUCUUUUUUAUCAAAUAGUAAUAUUUUCAUGUUGAGUUCUAGUUCCUUGAUCCACCUUUUUAUGCCACAAACUAAAUUUCUCAAGAUUGCAUUUGAUUUUGUGCAUACGUUGAUUCUUGUCUAGUCGUUUGUACCUUAUUUAUGACAUGCUAAGAAUUUGAUUUAUGGCCAUGGGUAACAUAAAUCUCUACGAAGUUAGAUCAUAAAUGCUGACUUUUUUGUGUGGGUAAGGGACGUUUGUAAAAGUUGCUGGAAAUCCUGGAAAAGUCCUUAUGGUAAUUACUUUGCUCAUCAUUGGUUUUAGGAUGUUGAUGAUGGUCUUGGGUCCAAUUGUUCAGAUUUGUUUAUGGUUAUGAUUGGAUUGUUUUACAGACUCAAUCACACUCGCCCCCUGUAUUUAUUCACAACUUUCCACAACCUUUUGUCCCAUGGCAUUAACAUGCUCAUGGCCAACAAUUUGAUCAUGAGUAAACUGGUCAAGCAUAGAGUUAGAGGGAGUAGACUUUCCAUUUUGAUGAUUCUCUUAUUUUGAGCUUGUGUUCUAUAUUUUAGGGACAGUAGCUUGGGAUUCCUGCAAAAUGUCAUGUGAAUCUUUAGUGGUAUCAACAAGUAUACCUGUAUUAGGAGAGUUAUAUAUGCUUGGGUUUAAAAAUGUGAAAUCUGUAAAUCUUCAAAUCUGCAGAUCUAUGUUGCAUCUUAAAAAUAUGUUGUGGUAUAUUGUUGUUCUAUAUUUAGUGGAAAAAUUGUAAUCUACAACAUAUAUGUAAAUCUGCAAAUGUGCAAUAUGCAAAUCUUCAAAUAUGCAUAUCUGUAUUUUGAAGCUUGGUUUUGUACUUUUGAUCUUCUUAAUAAAGUGUUUAAACUUCUUUAAAAUGUUGUUUACAACUUGAACAUGCUUCCCGAUAAUAUGAAACUGGCGUAGAAGCAGAAAAAGAGAUCUUUUCAAAAUUUGAGUUGCAAAGGUAUGUGAUUAGUUGACUGUUAUCAAGAAAAAGAGAUCUCGAUAUGGUUUUGAAUAUUGUUGAAUGCUAGCGAAACACUCUAAAUGUUUGAAUUUUUUCUCUUUUUAGUUGUUAGUGGCUUGUUUUGUAUGGUUGCAGUCUAGUUUUUGCUAUAUGAGAUUUUGUUUCCAAUUUUAAUUAUGUUCUGGGUGUUAGCUGAUAAGAAUCGAAAUGGUAUUUCUCUACUAGUCUAUUUGACUGAUCCUUCAGUGUAUACCAUAGUCAAUCUGGAAUCUGCAAUCUGCUGAUUUAUUAUUUUCUGUAAAUUCCAGAUGCAAUAUGGAAUUUGCAAUCAGCAAAUUUACUAUUUUCUGUAACUUUCAGAUGCAAUGUGGAAUUUGCAAUUUUCAAAUUUACUAUUUUCUGUAACUUCCAAAUGCAAUCUGCAAAUAUAUUACCCGAGUAUGUAAUCUGCAAAUGCAUGUGCUCUUCUUCACUAUGAUUUGCUUGAAUUAGUGUCAGCGCAUGCUAUCUGUUUAAUUUGUUGAAUUGCUUCAAUGGCUUUCUCUUUCUCUUCUUUCCUCCAUUUUAUCCUCAUAAAACCAUAUCUCUUCCAUUUUCAUCUCGAAUGUGUUCCUUCAACUAUUUUACCUUCUAAAGCAAAAGAACUCUUGAAAGAUUUCACACCAAAGCAAUUUCUCAACACCCUUCGUUAAGAAAAUGAUGAAACUUCAGCUUUUCAUCUCUUUAAAUGGGAUUCUAAGCAGCCCCAUUUCACAUCCACUUUGUCUAUAUACGAAGAGAUUUUAAGGAAGCUUGGAAAUGUGGGAUCUUUUGAUUUAAUGAAGGGGGUAUUGGAUGAUAUGAAGAGAUUGAAGGUUGAAUUAGUUCAAGAAUGUAACAACAGGUGAAGAGAAGUGAAGAGCUAAGAACGAAAUAGUUGAGAACAUAUUAUCUUCUACGAUUUGUGAGAACAACAUCAUAAAGAGUUGAAGUCAUAGAAGAACUGAGUUAAAGAUUUGAAGUCAUUGAUAGUUCAAGUCGUCUAUCCGAUAACGGUUUCUUGAAGAAAGGAAUUGGAUACUUUGGGGUUGUUGGCAAGAUGAUGAAGUGAAGUGAAAUAGCUCUCUGUCAUGCUUUUCUUUCCAAUUUCUCACUGAAGAAAAGGAUUUCAGACUGCUUUUGUUGGAAUAAGGUUUAUCAGUGUUUGAGUUUUGUAGUGAAGAUCAUUUCCCUGCUCCUCUCUUUCUAGUUCAGUGCCAGCAGAAAGGUAAAGUCAUUUUCCUCAUGGUACUCUUUUCGCCUCUCUUUCUAUUUUAACAGUGAUAUUAUGAAUGUUUGAUGUAAUAAUCGAGAUUUUGUAUUCACAGUAGUUAUUGCCCUACUUGUCAUUCAAAGUUUUGUUGUGUUGUUUCUCUUCUUGAUCUUUCUCUUUGAAUUUCCCUUAAUCUGUGUCACAUGUAGAAUUGGUUCCAUGAGGUAUCCUUGGCUCAAGAAAAUUAGAACCUCAAAGUUUACAUGCCACAUAAAUUAAUAUAAGGACUUAGAUGACUAAACAAUAGAAAGUUACGAUAUAUACUCCAUUUAGAGAGAGCCACUAGGAUUUACAAUCCAUGAUAUCUGACUUCAGAUCAUAAAUAUACACAUUACAGUCUCGAGGCCAAUUAAAGGAUAUGUGGUUCAUUGAAAACCGUGUGUAAAAAAGAAAUAAAGAAGUGAUUCAGACAAUAAAAAUUGAUUCUGGGAUUAUUAUAUUAUUUUGAGGGUUGAAGUCCAAAUUUUUGCUUUUUUUUGGCUGUUUCUGCAUCAUAGUUGGCUAGAAGAUCCUUUCAGUUGGAUCUGUUUUAUAGUCCUUGAAGUUUUUUCAGCCCAUUUCUUCCUUUGUUCUUGUUUAUUGUCUAUGCAAUUAGUUGCAUAAAUUUUAUUCUCAGCUUUGACUGCAUUUUUCGACACAUGGAUGGACAUUAUGCCAAAUGCUAUUUGUUUAAUAUGAAGUUCAAUGACAUAUAACUCCAUUUGAAUUUGCAACAGGACAACAAUCGAAAACUAGUGAACAAUGAAGGUUGAUACUUUUUAGUGAUCCUUAAUAUGCCAUCUAUCAUACAGGAGAACUCACAAAAAGAACAAUGGAAAUACUUCUUGGCAUUUCUUCCCGCAAAACGAUACUGAUGAAUUAAUAGAACUAGAAGAUAUAGCAUUCAUAUCCAGACUGCAUAAUUUAUGGUCUGCAAAAUGAAAGUUUCAUUAAUUAGUCUCAAUUAUAGAACAUGUAAAGCAACUAAACCUCCAAGAGCAAAAUAACUCUACAUUUUUUCUCACAAAGUCUGCACUAGAGAAUCACAUUUAUAGCUCCCUCACCUUCCUCUGUUAUAAUAUUGUCGGUGUUAAAAAAUUUGCAUUUGCAAUUUGCAAAGAGCCAAUGACCUAGAGGAAGCAUCCACACAAAAAAAGAAACAUGUGAGCGUGAUGCUUAGAGAGACUAUAUGUCAUCUUUUAGGAUGGAUUCGAAUAAGAACAUAAGUAAUAAUAUAAAGUACAGAAUUUCAGAACCUAGUCUGCAUAUGUUGCAUCUACUGCAUCUAUUGCAAAUACCUGGGUAAAGUAUGAUUUUCUAAGAAAUAAAUAUCCUAAUCAAUGUUCAUUAUCAUAUUACACAAUCAGUUUUAGUGAUAUUGAUGCACUUAUCGUUCUUUCCAUUCUUUGAUUAAUUUUUUAAACAAAACAAAUUGUGCAGUAAUUGAAGCCAAACUCCUAUACUAUAUAUGCUUCAACAGAACUUCUUGAAACGUGGGACUCAUGUUCCGAACAAUUGUCAUAGUUAGAUGUUGUCAGCUUGAAUUGGAAAUGAAUGUGAAAGUACAAGCUUAUAUACUAGCUACACUUACUGACCUACUUGUUAACAUGUGUAACAAACUCAUGUCAACAUCAUCAACUGCUGAACCCUUGGACAUUUUUGGUAGUCUUGAAGCACUCAAGUGUAGGCCAGUAAUAUUUUCCUGUCAUGUCACUGCUAAGGUUUCAUUAGGUCCCAGAUAUGUUGCCUAUCAACAUUGAAUUGAUGAUUUGACAAGUUCACAAUUAUAAGAUUAUAAAGAAAGUAGAAUAACUCUGCCAAUAUUAGAAAAUACACUGACUGAAGUAUACUACUUACGAUCCUGAAGAUUAUUGCCAUUUUGAGCACAUAGAUCAAGUUUGUUAUUGAUCGUUUUGAUCAUUUGAUUGUCUGUUUUGAAAGUAUAUUUUAAUAGGUAAGCCUUAUUUUCAUUCUCCAGGUUGCAUAUACCUCAUCGUCCAUUUUUUCCUUGCAAGUUCAUUUUCUAAUUUGUUUCGCAGAUUAGUUUUCCCAAGCUUUGUUCGAGUUCAAAAUUAUGCCUAUAAUUCUCAUCUGUCGUUAGUGUUCGAGUUUUGCGGGGAAGAUCUUGUCCUUACUCUUCCCUUUCUAUUUCACUACCGUAAGAAAGGUAGUGGGCAUUAAAGGUAGAAUACUGAACUCUACAGUUAGAAGUCGCUAUUUGAUUUUUCUCUGUCCCGAGUUCCUCGCUCCGAGGGAGGCCAUAUCUUAGGUGAAUUCUAAAACCAGGAAGCAAUAUUAGUGAAGGCAUAGAAUGAGACCGAUUAAUAUUGCAAGAGUACGCGUGGCAUCGAGUGUAGCAAAAGAAAACAACGAGGAACCAUCAUAGUUUGAAAUGAUUAUCGCAACUCGUACAAAAGCGAGAAAGGAAAUUCAGUGCGAUACCGAAGUUAAAAUAGAAUAAUUUACGCGGAAGGAAGGUAAAAAAUGAAUCAUAAGCUGAUUUUCGUCCUGAAGUAAAUAGUUACAGUAAACUAUAGAUGUCAAUUUUGUUCAACAAGUUGAACUUCAGAAUCGUCAAAAUUCUAGAGAAUACUGUUGAUGCCUUCAGGGCAGUGUUUGGAAAGGAGCAGCAUGGACGACUUAGGUGCUAUGGCAGAUCACUGACAACAAGUUCUCUGAAAUAAGAUGAGGAAAUUAACAAGAUCAAACAAAAGCAUCUUAACGAAAUCAGUUCUUUUAAGGAAGAAAUGUAUUAAAAAUGAAUUAAAAAAAUCAAUGCAAUGACAGAUGAAAUGCGAAAUUUUUUUUGUUCCAAUGCUGCAAAACAACCCUGGAUUGAAUGUUCAAGAUAUACAAGGGGUCGUUGGAUCUAACCUUGUUUCACCUGUUGAUGCAAGUAGAGCACAAGCUCUAAGAGGCCACAACAUUCCAAAUUCUUCAGGGGGAAUAGAGAUGCUCAAAUUUGAAGGGUUGCCACAAGUUAAUUUGAUCUCAUUGAAGUAAAAGUGGAUAACUAAUGAAGAGUUUGAACUAUCACAAAAGUUUGAAUACUUUUUCUACUCACGUGUACACUUAUAUUUAGAAUAUUGCUUUAUAAGUAUGUGUAUGAACACAAGACUAUCUUUUGAUGUUUAUUGCAAAUUUAUAUAUUUAAACUAGUUAUUAGCUAA